Molecule: long non-coding RNA, 603 nt
Organism: Numida meleagris (helmeted guineafowl)
Lineage: Eukaryota; Metazoa; Chordata; Aves; Galliformes; Numididae
Exons: 3
Source: RefSeq, a predicted model, not a curated record
AUAUUCAAUCAGGCAUAAAUUCUCCAGCUUUGUUCCCCAGUUCCUUUCCCAGCCAAACACUCUCACUUUCCUUCAUCCAUUACAAGUAGCCAAAUAAGCUGGCUGGGCCAAGGCACCCAUCAGACACUGCCCCUUGCCAACAUCCUCUGGUCAGAGCAGCCUUCAAGGACAACAAGUGAAUGAACUUCUUUAUGUGCUGUGGAGGAACUGCUGGAAAUGGUGCUGUUAGUGAUUAUAAGCAACGGAGAGCUGGAGUGGACUAUGAGGUCUGAAAUGGGCAGAGAGGAGAAAAUUAGUGGUUAACAUCCAGCCACACGUCCUGCCUCAAGGAACCUCCUCGAUAACAUGGCACCAUGCUCUCCAUUUCUGAUGGCUAAUAAAGAGUCUGCAAGAACAACUUGGCAGAAGAACACCCCACCAGCCCUGCUUUUUGUUCUGUCUGAUCCCAGCUGUUGCGCGUGAUGUUUUCAGAGCUGAAUGGAAGUCAUCUGGGGCAGACAGUUUCCCAGUUUUUUCAGAAUACAGAAUGGGGCAAAUGGAGCAUGUUUCAACUCUGCCCAACCUGGGUCCCUCAGAAUAAAGCGGUAAAGUGCCUGAUGAGUG